CGUAGGUGGCAAGCGUUGUCCGGAAUUAUUGGGCGUAAAGCGCGCGCAGGCGGUCUCUUAAGUCUGAUGUGAAAGCCCCCGGCUCAACCGGGGAGGGUCAUUGGAAACUGGGAGACUUGAGUACAGAAGAGAAGAGCGGAAUUCCACGUGUAGCGGUGAAAUGCGUAGAGAUGUGGAGGAACACCAGUGGCGAAGGCGGCUCUUUGGUCUGUAACUGACGCUGAGGCGCGAAAGCGUGGGGAGCAAACAGGAUUAGAUACCCUGGUAGUCCACGCCGUAAACGAUGAGUGCUAAGUGUUAGAGGGUUUCCGCCCUUUAGUGCUGCAGCUAACGCAUUAAGCACUCCGCCUGGGGAGUACGGCCGCAAGGCUG
RNAcentral lists this ribosomal RNA (372 nucleotides) under uncultured organism. Its description in RNAcentral is "bacterial SSU rRNA". It matches the Rfam family "Bacterial small subunit ribosomal RNA", at positions 526 to 896 of the family's 1533-position model. The record is from RNAcentral.